This 27-nucleotide small RNA is filed under the name Bombyx mori (domestic silkworm). Its description in RNAcentral is "ovarian small RNA-7110". The record is from RNAcentral. Lineage: Eukaryota; Metazoa; Arthropoda; Insecta; Lepidoptera; Bombycidae.
UCAUUCGGAACGAACUGCCGCUCCAGC